RNAcentral lists this ribosomal RNA (253 nucleotides) under uncultured bacterium. RNAcentral's name for it is "partial 16S ribosomal RNA". It matches the Rfam family "Bacterial small subunit ribosomal RNA", at positions 524 to 776 of the family's 1533-position model. The record is from RNAcentral.
UACGGAGUGGGCUAGCGCUGUUCGGAAUUACUGGGCGUAAAGCGCACGUAGGCGGACUGGAAAGUCAGGGGUGAAAUCCCGGGGCUCAACCCCGGAACUGCCUUUGAAACUCCCGGUCUUGAGGUCGAGAGAGGUGAGUGGAAUUCCGAGUGUAGAGGUGAAAUUCGUAGAUAUUCGGAGGACCACCAGUGGCGAAGGCGGCUCACUGGCUCGAUACUGACGCUGAGGUGUGAAAGCGUGGGGAGCAAACAGG